Molecule: ribosomal RNA, 463 nt
Filed under: uncultured bacterium
Lineage: Bacteria
Description: partial 16S ribosomal RNA
Rfam family: Bacterial small subunit ribosomal RNA
Source: RNAcentral
GACGAACGCUGGCGGCGUGCUUAACACAUGCAAGUCGAGCGAGGCCCCUCCUUCGGGUGGGUGUCCUAGCGGCGAACGGGUGAGUAAGACGUGGGCAACCUGCCCUCAGCUCUGGGAUAGCUCCGGGAAACCGGGGCUAAUACCGGAUACGACCUCCACGGGCAUCUGCGGAGGAGGAAAGUUUUUCGGCUGAGGAUGGGCCCGGGGCCUAUCAGCUAGUUGGUGGGGUAGUGGCCCACCCAGGGAGCGACGGGAAGCCGGCCUGUGGGGGCGAACGGCCACGCCGCGAACGGGAGGCAGCAGAGGCGCCUAGGGGAGAAAGGGGUGGAGAAUAUUGCGCACUGAGCGAAUGCGUGAAGCAGCGACGCCGCGUGAGGAACGCAGGUCUUGGGAUUGAAAAGCUCUUUCAGCAGACACGGAGGGAAUGUGACGAUACCAACAAAAGACGCAGCCGCCAUUUGCG